CGAACGCUGGCGGCGUGCUUAACACAUGCAAGUCGAACGGUGAAGCGCCUUCCUUUUUGGUGGGUGUGGAUGAGUGGCGAACGGGUGAGUAACACGUGAGUAACCUGCCCCCUUCUUCUGGAUAACCGCAUGAAAGUGUGGCUAAUACGGGAUAUUCUGGGUCUGUCGCAUGAUGGGUCUGGGAAAGAUAUUGUUUCGGUGGGGGAUGGGCUCGCGGCCUAUCAGCUUGUUGGUGGGGUGAUGGCCUACCAAGGCGGUGACGGGUAGCCGGCCUGAGAGGGUGGACGGUCACACUGGGACUGAGACACGGCCCAGACUCCUACGGAAGGCAGCAGUGGGGAAUAUUGCACAAUGGGCGCAAGCCUGAUGCAGCGACGCCGCGUGAGGGAUGGAGGCCUUCGGGUUGUGAACCUCUUUCGCCAGUGAAGCAGGCCUGCCUCGUUUGUGGGUGGGUUGACGGUAGCUGGAUAAGAAGCGCCGGCUAACUACGUG
Molecule: ribosomal RNA, 492 nt
Filed under: uncultured bacterium
Lineage: Bacteria
Description: partial 16S ribosomal RNA
Rfam family: Bacterial small subunit ribosomal RNA
Source: RNAcentral